Molecule: unclassified non-coding RNA, 287 nt
Organism: Callithrix jacchus (white-tufted-ear marmoset)
Lineage: Eukaryota; Metazoa; Chordata; Mammalia; Primates; Cebidae
Rfam family: Metazoan signal recognition particle RNA
About the family: The signal recognition particle (SRP) is a universally conserved ribonucleoprotein. It is involved in the co-translational targeting of proteins to membranes. The eukaryotic SRP consists of a 300-nucleotide 7S RNA and six proteins: SRPs 72, 68, 54, 19, 14, and 9.
Source: Ensembl
GCCGGGAACGGUGGCACAUGCCUGUAGUCCCAGCUACUCUGGAGGCUGAGACUGGAGGAUCACUUGAGCCCAGGAGUUCUGGGCUGUAGUGCGCUAUGCCGAUCGGGUGUCUGCACUAAGUUCGGCAUCAGUAUGGUGACUUCCUGGAAGUGGGGACCACCAGGUUGCCUAAGGAAGGAGUGAACCGGCCCAGGUCGGAAUCGGAGCCGUGCUGAUCAGUAGUGGGAUAGGGCCUGUGAAUAGCCACUGCACUCCAGCCUGGGCAACAUAGCGAGACCCUGUCUCGA